UACGAAGGGGGCUAGCGUUGCUCGGAAUUACUGGGCGUAAAGGGCUCGUAGGCGGCCAACUAAGUCAGACGUGAAAUCCCUCGGCUUAACCGGGGAACUGCGUCUGAUACUGGAUGGCUUGAGUUUGGGAGAGGGAUGCGGAAUUCCAGGUGUAGCGGUGAAAUGCGUAGAUAUCUGGAGGAACACCGGUGGCGAAGGCGGCAUCCUGGACCAACACUGACGCUGAGGAGCGAAAGCCAGGGGAGCAAACGGG
Molecule: ribosomal RNA, 253 nt
Filed under: uncultured bacterium
Lineage: Bacteria
Description: partial 16S ribosomal RNA
Rfam family: Bacterial small subunit ribosomal RNA
Source: RNAcentral